AGAAAAGCAGACAUGCAUUUGACAGCAGCCUCGGAACUUUGCACGUUCAAAAAAUACCAGAGCUAUUUCCAGAAGCAGGAUAAUUGUGGUGACAUUUGAUCAAUGUGGGAGGAAGUGAUAGAUCCUUCUUUCAAAGAGCCUGGGGAGACCACACCCUGACACAGGCCUUAUUUCCCAACCUUUAAAUGCUAAGAGAAUGUGAGUCUGAGCAAAUAGCCAAGAUCCUACUGAGAAAUUGAGCGACUGCAUUACUGCAGAGAGCAUGGAGAGUUUUCUCUGAUGACAGAGUAUUCCCUGAGCAUUCAAUGAAUCUUUUACUUUUAUCGUGGGGCUUCUAGUAAGAAAGUCAGAAUGCAAACUUUGUCCUGACUUAAUUGCAUCUGAGGAGGGUGAUGGCUGGAAGCAGCAGGAGAAAGAAGGAAGCUUAGACCAUGCGAGCUUCGUCCAGCAUCCAAUGACCUGUCCAUCUUCUCCUUCCACUGUUUUGCCUUUGGGCGACCCACUUCACAGGAUAAGAUGAGGGACACCAUGAUAUAUUCUCAGAUUUCUAUGAUUUUAUGAGAAGUCUGUGCUCAGAAUAACUUUUCACUGUUUUCUAUUGGCUCUCAGGCUUGUCAGAUGUCGCGCGCCUAACGUCUCGCCGGCAAGAAUGACGCGCGGACACCAGGAUCCUUCUGCAAUAAAGUGUUUAUUGCAUCUUGAAGAGGAGAGAGUGAGCCCCAGAAUGGCACUGCUUUAAU
Molecule: non-coding RNA, 740 nt
Organism: Rattus norvegicus (Norway rat)
Lineage: Eukaryota; Metazoa; Chordata; Mammalia; Rodentia; Muridae
Source: RefSeq, a predicted model, not a curated record